CCUACGGGUGGCAGCAGUGAGGAAUAUUGGUCAAUGGGCGAGAGCCUGAACCAGCCAAGUCGCGUGAAGGAUGACGGCCCUACGGGUUGUAAACUUCUUUUGUAAGGGAGCAAUUGAGUCCACGUGUGGGCUUAGCGAGAGUACCUGAAGAAAAAGCAUCGGCUAACUCCGUGCCAGCAGCCGCGGGAAUACGGAGGAGGCGAGCGUUAUUCGGAUGUAUUGGGUGGACAGGGUGCGUAGGCGGAAUAUCAGGUCAGCGGUAAAAAUACGGGGCUAAACCCCGUCGUGCCGUUGAAACUGAUUUUCGUGAGUGGGCGAGAAGUAUGCGGAAUGCGUGGUGUAGCGGUGAAAUGCA
Molecule: ribosomal RNA, 355 nt
Filed under: uncultured bacterium
Lineage: Bacteria
Description: partial 16S ribosomal RNA
Rfam family: Bacterial small subunit ribosomal RNA
Source: RNAcentral